CUCUUGGUGAAUCAUGACAAAUUGCGGAUCCUUAUGUUGCAAAAGACGAAGGACGACUAGGAAAGGCUUACCACCUAUCAGUUUUCGAAGGUAGUAUAUGGAACUAUCUUGACCUUGACGGGUAACGGAAAAUUAGGGUUUGACUCCGGAGAAGGAGCCUGAGAGACGGCUACUACAUCUAAGGAAGGCAGCAGGCGCGCAAAUUCUUCAAUAGCCAAAUGGCUGAAAGAGUGACGAUCAAUAACAAUGUGCGACCUUUAUGGUUGUGCAAUUGGAAUGACAGCAAUUUAAAGAGUUCAAGGAGGAUCAAUUGGAGGGCAAGUCUGGUGCCAGCAGCCGCGGUAAUUCCAGCUCCAAAAGGAUAUAUCAACGUUGUUGCAGUUAAAAAGCUCGUAGUUGAAUUUCGGCGGUGUUGAUUCUCUCGGUUUACCUGCGCAAGUGGGUUUGGCGGGGGAGGCACUGCUUUUUGUGGAAUCCAUCUUGCUCAGUAGUUUACUCUGCUGGGUAAGGUACCACUCAGUCACUGAGAGCAAAUUGGAGUGCUCAAAGUAGGCUUGAUAGCUUUGAACAUUUUAGCUUGGAAUGACAAGAUAUGACUUUUGUUUUAUUUUGUUGGUUAUGAAAUGAAAGUAAUGAUUAACGGGAACAGUGCGGGGGUACUCGUAUUGAAAGGUCAGAGGUGAAAUUCUUGGAUUCCUUCAAGACGAACGACUGCGAAAGCAUUUACCAAGGAUGUUUUCAUUAAUCAAGAACGAAAGCUCGGGGAUCGAAGAUGAUUAGAUACCAUCGUAGUCCGACGCCAUAAACGAUGUCGACUCGGGAUUGUUAUGUUGUUCGAUUUCAAAGAACCAUCGCAGCACCGUAUGAGAAAGCAAAGUCUUUGGGUUCCGGGGGGAGUAUGGUCGCAAGGCUGAAACUUAAAGGAAUUGACGGAAGGACACACCAGAGGUGGAGCCUGCGGUUUAAUUUGACCCAACACGGGGAAACUUACCAGGUCCAGACAUGAUGAGGAUUGACAGUUUGAAAGCACUUUCUUGAUUUCAUGGGUGGUGGUGCAUGGCCGUUCUUAGUUGGUGGAGUGAUUUGUCUGGUUGAUUCCGAUAACGAACGAGACGGGGAGAGUUUACUAGUUCGCCAUGUAACUCACGUUACACUGGGACUUCUUUACUCGACAACUUGGUUUUACCAAGGGGAAGCGCUCCGCAAUAACAGGUCUGUGAUGCCCUUAGAUGUUCUGGGCUACACGCGCGCUACAAUGACGAGUUCAACGAGUUUUUUUCUCCUUGCCCGUAAGGGUGUGGGUAAUCUUUUCAAUGCUCGUCGUGAUGGGGCUAGAUUCUUGCAAUUAUUAAUCUUCAACGAGGAAUCUCUAGUAUGUGCAAGUCAUCAGCUUGUGCAGAAUGCGUCCCUGUCCUUUGUACACACCGCCCGUCGCACCUACCGAUUGGACGAUCCGGCAAGAUGUUUGGAGUCUUGAUUUUUGUCUCUCGGGAUGAAGAUCGAGGCGAAGCUCAUCAAACCUUAUCGUCUAGAGGAAGGUGAAGUCGUAACAAGGUC
RNAcentral lists this ribosomal RNA (1557 nucleotides) under metagenome. Its description in RNAcentral is "SSU rRNA". It matches the Rfam family "Eukaryotic small subunit ribosomal RNA", at positions 240 to 1801 of the family's 1831-position model. The record is from RNAcentral.